This 256-nucleotide long non-coding RNA is filed under the name Gossypium barbadense (sea-island cotton). Its description in RNAcentral is "long non-coding RNA (GBAR_LNC013480)". Lineage: Eukaryota; Viridiplantae; Streptophyta; Magnoliopsida; Malvales; Malvaceae. The record is from RNAcentral.
UAUGUUUAGGUAACUAGUUGGAAUAGGUUAUCAUGUAUGAGAUGGUGCAAUGUUGGCAUAUUUUGAUAAAUGUUAUUUUGGUAUAUUGUGGUGGCUUUGAAUGGCAUAUUGGUUAGUUGGAUUAGGAUCUUGAAAUGGCAUCUUGUUGUGUUUGAAUGAGGUUUAGGUCACUUUAAAGUAUGCACAAAUGGAUUGAAUGUUUAUGAAUGGUUAGGUUAUGAAAUGGCUUGAUUUUAGGUAAAUUUUGGGUUCACGC